UACGGGGGGAGCAAGCGUUGUUCGGAUUUACUGGGCGUAAAGGGCGGGUAGGCGGCCACCGCAAGUCAGUUGUGAAAUCUCUGGGCUUAACCCAGAAAGGUCAACUGAUACUGCGGGGCUAGAGUGCAGAAGGGGCAACUGGAAUUCUCGGUGUAGCGGUGAAAUGCGUAGAUAUCUGGAGGAACACCGGUGGCGAAGGCGGCAUCCUGGACCGAUACUGACGCUGAGGAGCGAAAGCCAGGGGAGCAAACGGG
This 254-nucleotide ribosomal RNA is filed under the name uncultured bacterium. Its description in RNAcentral is "partial 16S ribosomal RNA". It matches the Rfam family "Bacterial small subunit ribosomal RNA", at positions 524 to 776 of the family's 1533-position model. The record is from RNAcentral.